Molecule: ribosomal RNA, 383 nt
Filed under: uncultured bacterium
Lineage: Bacteria
Description: bacterial SSU rRNA
Rfam family: Bacterial small subunit ribosomal RNA
Source: RNAcentral
GAUGAACGCUGGCGGCAUGCCUAACACAUGCAAGUCUACUGUGCAUAUAGCAAUAUAAGUAUGGUGGCGGACGGGUGAGUAACACGUAAAUAACCUGCCCCUUAGACAGGGAUAACUUUUCGAAAGAAGGGCUAAUACCUGAUGGACUUAUUAGAGGAAGAUAUAAUAAGUAAAGAGAAUUCGCUAAGGGAGGGGUUUGCGGACCAUUAGCUAGUUGGUGAGGGUAAGAGCCCACCAAGGCAACGAUGGAUAGCCGGCCUAAGAGGGUGUACGGCCACAAGGGAACUGAGAAACGGUCCUUACUCCUACGGGAGGCAGCAGUGGGGAAUCUUGCGCAAUGGGCGGAAGCCUGACGCAGCAAUGCCGCGUGAAUGAAGAAGGCC